CAUAAUCUAGCAUUUACAACUGAAGUACUUUUUUAUAAGAACUGGCAUCUUGAUGUAUAUGUCUGAAAUGAUACAUAAUCCUUUGGUUUUUAAUUUGAAUUAAUAAGACCAUGAUAGAUUUUGAUUUUUAAUUUUACUUUUAAACUAUUUUAGUGUGCUAUUAUAUUUGUUCUAGAACUCUGAGUCACUUUGGUUUUAAAAGCUAGCUGUUUAUUUUUCAUACCACAUCAGAAAUUUCUUAAUGUUAAAAAAUACUGUAUGUUUGUGAUGUAACCAACCAGAACAGUUCCUAGAUUGGGGAGGGUUUGGAUUAACAUUUACUAAGAAGGCAAGAAGAAUUGAACUUUAUACUUCUAAAGGAGGUUUUUGGUUUUAUGAGGUGCUGGUCAUAAAACUUGUUUUCUUGUUUGUUUGUUUUUAAUUUUAUCAAAGCCAGGCAGGUGUUUGCAUUCUAAUUUACCAUUGAUAAAGACACAGGAAAGCCACAGAAGUCUUUUGGGGAUGUAUGUUAUAUACAUAGUUGACUGUUAUUCACUUGCUCCUCUUGUAUUAAGUAGGAGAUACAACAUCCCAAGUCAUUUUUAGAUCAGUUAGCCUUCAGAGACUUCACCUCUCUUCCCAAAUUAUCUCUUCCAAGCUGUCUUCAUCAUCUGUGUUCAGUUACA
Molecule: long non-coding RNA, 665 nt
Filed under: Bos taurus (domestic cattle)
Lineage: Eukaryota; Metazoa; Chordata; Mammalia; Artiodactyla; Bovidae
Description: long non-coding RNA NONBTAT006084
Source: RNAcentral